GGUUGUCAAGUCAGGUGUGAAAUCCUACAGCUUAACUGUAGAACUGCACUUGAAACUGGCAACCUAGAGUAUGGGAGGGGGAGAUGGAAUUAGUGGUGUAGGGGUAAAAUCCGUAGAUAUCACUAGGAAUACCUAAAGCGAAGGCGAUCUCCUGGAACAUUACUGACGCUAAGGCGUGAAAGCGUGGGGAGCAAACAGGAUUAGAUACCCUGGUAGUCCACGCCCUAAACGAUGAACACUAGUCGUCGCCCUGCUUGUCAGGGCGGUGAUGCACUUAACAGAUUAAGUGUUCCGCCUGGGGAGUACGGUCGCAAGAUUAAAACUCAAAGGAAUAGACGGGGACCCGCACAAGUGGUGGAGCAUGUGGUUUAAUUCGAAGAUACGCGAAAAACCUUACCUGGCCUUGACAUUGAUAGAAUCCAGCAGAGAUGCAGGAGUGCCCUUCGGGGAGCUUGAAAACAGGUGCUGCACGGCUGUCGUCAGCUCGUGUCGUGAGAUGUUGGGUUAAGUCCCGCAACGAGCGCAACCCUCGUCCUUAGUUGCCAGCAGGUUAAGCUGGGCACUCUAGGGAGACUGCCUUCGCAAGAAGGAGGAAGGUGAGGACGACGUCAAGUCAUCAUGGCCCUUACGGCCAGGGCUACACACGUGCUACAAUGGGGCGUACAGAGUGUUGCAAUACCGCGAGGUGGAGCCAAUCACUUAAAGCGUCUCUCAGUUCGGAUUGUUCUCUGCAACUCGAGAGCAUGAAGCUGGAAUCAC
This 759-nucleotide ribosomal RNA is filed under the name uncultured Sulfurimonas sp. Its description in RNAcentral is "bacterial SSU rRNA". It matches the Rfam family "Bacterial small subunit ribosomal RNA", at positions 578 to 1335 of the family's 1533-position model. Lineage: Bacteria; Pseudomonadati; Campylobacterota; Epsilonproteobacteria; Campylobacterales; Sulfurimonadaceae. The record is from RNAcentral.